This 369-nucleotide ribosomal RNA is filed under the name Poecillastra compressa. RNAcentral's name for it is "partial large subunit ribosomal RNA". It matches the Rfam family "Eukaryotic large subunit ribosomal RNA", at positions 42 to 404 of the family's 3401-position model. Lineage: Eukaryota; Metazoa; Porifera; Demospongiae; Tetractinellida; Vulcanellidae. The record is from RNAcentral.
AUCAAUAAGCGGAGGAAAAGCAACUAACCAGGAUUCCCCCAGUAACGGCGAGCGAAGCGGGAAUAGCUCGAGCAGGCAAUCUCUGGCGUCGAUCGUCAGCGAAUUGUGGCCGGCAGAGGCGGGUGCACCCGAGGCGACUCCGUCGAAGUUGACCUGGAAAGGCACGUCGGAGAGGGUGAUAGCCCCGUGCGGGGCGGAGUCGCCGAGGGCCGCUACCGUCUUCGGAGAGUCGGGUUGUUUGGGAGUGCAGCCCAAAGUGGGUGGUAAACUCCAUCUAAAGCCAAAUAACGGCACGAGACCGAUAGCGAACAAGUACCAUGAGGGAAAGGUGAAAAGCACUUUGGAAAGAGAGUUAAAGAGGCCGCGAAA